Molecule: ribosomal RNA, 484 nt
Filed under: uncultured bacterium
Lineage: Bacteria
Description: partial 16S ribosomal RNA
Rfam family: Bacterial small subunit ribosomal RNA
Source: RNAcentral
AUUGAACGCUGGCGGCAGGCCUAACACAUGCAAGUCGAGCGGAUGAAGGGAGCUUGCUCCUGGAUUCAGCGGCGGACGGGUGAGUAAUGCCUAGGAAUCUGCCUGGUAGUGGGGGAUAACGUCCGGAAACGGGCGCUAAUACCGCAUACGUCCUGAGGGAGAAAGUGGGGGAUCUUCGGACCUCACGCUAUCAGAUGAGCCUAGGUCGGGUUAGCUAGUUGGUGGGGUAAAGGCCUACCAAGGCGACGAUCCGUAACUGGUCUGAGAGGAUGAUCAGUCACACUGGAACUGAGACACGGUCCAGACUCCUACGGGAGGCAGCAGUGGGGAAUAUUGGACAAUGGGCGGAAGCCUGAUCCAGCCAUGCCGCGUGUGUGAAGAAGGUCUUCGGAUUGUAAAGCACUUUAAGUUGGGAGGAAGGGCAGUAAGUUAAUACCUUGCUGUUUUGACGUUACCAACAGAAUAAGCACCGGCUAACUUCGUG